Molecule: long non-coding RNA, 732 nt
Filed under: Homo sapiens (human)
Lineage: Eukaryota; Metazoa; Chordata; Mammalia; Primates; Hominidae
Description: HSALNT0313238
Source: RNAcentral
CAGAAUUCUGUAGCAAUAGCCUGGACCUCGAAAUGCCAGGAAGAAGUGCCUUGUGCCUCCUGCCAUGAUUCUGAGGCCUCCUCAGCCAUGUGGUACUGUAAGUCCAAUUAAACUUCUUUUCCUUCCCAGUCUUGGGUACAUCUUUAUCAGCAGCACGAAAAUGGACUAAUACACUUGCCUUUUCUCUCUUCAGCGUUUUCAAGAUCUAUUGUUGAUAAUAUAUAAUAUCUUACAAGUUAUUUAAUUCUCUAAUGUAUGGGAAGCAGCGUAGCAUCGUCCUUGCUGUUGCUAUGGUAUUUAUUGCUGUUGAGCCUUCAGGAAACCUCUCUGCAUCUCGGUUUCCUCAUCUAUAAAAUGGAGAUGAUAACUGUACUUACAUCAUGGAGCUGCUAUGAGGAUCAAAGAAGUUAUCAACACUUCAGAAUAUGGCCAGCACAUAGGAACAAUAUAUCUAUUUGCUAAAUCGAAGGAUAAAAAGAAACCUACUUUGUAUGGAAAAGGAGAAAGAAAAGAGUAAGAUUGAACUAUGCUUUGCUGCAUGGUGGGUUUGAUGAAAGUGGAGUCACGCUGAUUGGUGCUCAAGAUAAAUGUCUUAGGGGAAGACUCAUACCCAGUGGAAUUUUUUUUAGUGAAAUAUCGUGGCUCAUGGACUGUGAGAUUUGUCAUUUGUUUUCAAUAAAAUGAUAAAAAUCAUAAUUUAUUUUGUGAAAAAGAAUUUCUAAUGGAAGCAGG